UUAGAGUUUGAUCCUGGCUCAGGAUGAACGCUGGCGGCGUGCCUUAGGCAUGCAAGUCGAACGGUCCCGCAAGGGACAGUGGCGGACGGCUGAGUAACACGUAGGAACCUACCCUGAAGUGAAGGAUAGCUCGCCGAAAGGCGGGGUAAUACUGCAUGUGAUCGCAAGAUCAAAGAGCUUAACUGCUCGCUUCAGGAGGGGCCUGCGGCCUAUCAGCUAGUUGGUGAGGUAAUGGCUCACCAAGGCUAUGACGGGUAGCUGAUCUGAGAGGAUGACCAGCCAGAAUGGAACUGAGAACGGUCCAUACAUCUACGGAUGGCAGCAACCGGGAAUCGUCGGCAAUGGACGAAAGUCUGACCGCGCGACGCCGCGUGUAGGAUGAAGGCCUACGGGUUGUAAACUACUCAAUUUCAAGCUAUAGCAAGAAAGGAUGAAGUCGCUGCUAACUACGUGCCAGAAGCCUCGGUAAUACGUAGGCGACAAGCGUUAUCCGGAUUUACUGGGCGUAAAGCGAGUGUAGGUGGUUUUUUAAGUCUUUUUUGAAAUCGUUCCGCUCAACGGGACUCACGGAAAGGAUACUGAAAAACUAGAGUCAUAUAGGGACAACUGGAACUCUCGGUGUAGGGGUGAAAUCCGAUGAUAUCGAGAGGAACACCAAGGGCGAAGGCAGGUUGUUGGAUAUGUACUGACACUGAGACUCGACCGCUAGGGGAGCGAAAGGGAUUAGAGACCCCUGUAGUCCUAGCCGUAAACUAUGAGUGCUAGAUGUUGUCGCCGUAGGCGACAGUGUCGUAAGCUAACGCGUUAAGCACUCCGCCUGGGGAGUACGGCCGCAAGGCUAAAACUCAAAGGAAUUGACGGGGAGGAGCACAACCAGUGGAGCGUGUGGUUUAAUUCGAUACGAAGCGAAAAACCUUACCAAGACUUGACAUGUAUUUUACACUUUUGCCGAAAGGUGAAAGUUCAACGGAUACACAGCUGCUGCAUGGCUGUCGUCAGUUCGUUCCGUGAGGAGUUCCCUUAAGUGGGGUAACGAACGCAACCCCUGCUGUCUGUUACAAGUGUCAGACGGGACUGCCUGCGUCAAACGCAGGAGGAAGGAGGGGCAGACGUCAAGUCAGCAUGGCGCUUAUGUCUUGGGCAACACACACCCUACAAUGGAGCCGACAAAGGGCUUGUGAAACGGUAACGUGGAACUAAUCCCAUCAAACGGCUUCCCAGUUGGGAUUGAGGGCUGAAAUUCGCCCUCAUGAACUAGGAAUUGGUAGUAAUCGCGAAUCAGAAGGUCGCGGUGAAUACGUUCUCUCCUCUUGUACACACCGCCCGUCAAGGCAGCAAAGUUGGUAAUGGCCGAAGCCCCGUGCUUGCACGGGAUUAAGCUAGGACCAGCGAUGAAGCUUAAGUCGUAACAAGGUAACC
RNAcentral lists this ribosomal RNA (1419 nucleotides) under uncultured bacterium. Its description in RNAcentral is "16S ribosomal RNA". It matches the Rfam family "Bacterial small subunit ribosomal RNA". The record is from RNAcentral.